This 496-nucleotide ribosomal RNA is filed under the name uncultured bacterium. Its description in RNAcentral is "partial 16S ribosomal RNA". It matches the Rfam family "Bacterial small subunit ribosomal RNA", at positions 29 to 507 of the family's 1533-position model. The record is from RNAcentral.
AUGAACGCUGGCGGCGUGCCUAAUACCUGCAAGUCGAGCGAACAGACGAGGAGCUUGCUCCUCUGACGUUAGCGGCGGACGGGUGAGUAACACGUGGAUAACCUACCUAUAAGACUGGGAUAACUUCGGGAAACCGGAGCUAAUACCGGAUAAUAUAUUGAACCGCAUGGUUCAAUAGUGAAAAACGGUUUUGCUGUCACUUAUAGAUGGAUCCGCGCCGCAUUAGCUAGUUGGUAAGGUAACGGCUUACCAAGGCAACGAUGCGUAGCCGACCUGAGAGGGUGAUCGGCCACACUGGAACUGAGACACGGUCCAGACUCCUACGGGAGGCAGCAGUAGGGAAUCUUCCGCAAUGGGCGAAAGCCUGACGGAGCAACGCCGCGUGAGUGAUGAAGGUCUUCGGAUCGUAAAACUCUGUUAUUAGGGAAGAACAAAUGAGUAAGUAACUAUGCACGUCUUGACGGUACCUAAUCAGAAAGCCACGGCUAACUACGUG